This is a long non-coding RNA of Capsicum annuum, 2669 nucleotides long. RefSeq lists it as uncharacterized. The record is from RefSeq and is a predicted model, not a curated record. The transcript is spliced from 2 exons. NCBI's taxonomy places the organism in Eukaryota, Viridiplantae, Streptophyta, Magnoliopsida, Solanales, Solanaceae.
UUUCCUCUUUCCUUCAAGAACCAGUACAAUAGCAAAGACCCAUUUCAAUACCUACAACUCUCCUCAACCUGAACUUUGAUCUGAAUCGCGACAACAACAUCAUGAACCAUUGAUCCAUGUCCAACGAUGAUACCUGACCCCAUCCCAUUCCUUUUUCACUGUUGUCACGCAUUUCGCGCAUUCGUAGGACAGGAAACUCCUUGAACGCUCUAGAACAAGCCAAGGUAUCUCUCCCAACGGCUCAAAUCCACAAAUUUUGGGAUAACUCAUACGGAUUCAUACAUAUUUGGUAAAUUUUCAUUGGUUUUUGGGUACAUUUUUGUCUUCCCCACAUUUGAUUGGUCCACUGGUUUCGGAUUUGUGGAAAGAAAAUCCAAAUUGGUUACGACCCAGGGAGGCUAGGGGUUUUAAAUUUCAAAUUCCCUCUGAAAAUCCCUAAAAUCUCCCCCAAUUCCCGUCUUCUAUAUAAGAACGGAUUAGGUCACAUUUCGAGAGGUUGGGGAGAGAGGUCGAGGAAGUUGGGGUUCAAAAAUUAGGGUUCAAAAAGGGGUUUCUUUGGAUUAGGAGAUUUUCUGAGCUAGUUAGGUCAAAAACCAAAAGAGUGCAAAAACUUUCUUUGAUUGAGAAGAAGAGCAGGAGGAAAGCAGAGAAAAGGGUUUGGGGAAGCGGGGGAUUCUUAGCUCUUUAUAGAUAAUUUUCCUUCUUGUUUCGAAAUUGGGGUAUGUGGAAAAUGGUGGUUUCAAACCUUUCUCUGAGAAAUUUAGGAGUUUUAAAACUGAGGGUAAGAAUAGAAGAAGGAAAGAAUUUUUUGAUUAAAGAUUCAAUCUGUGCCUAUUAGGAAUUCUGUUCCCAAAAAAUUGGUUUGCCAAUAAAGUUCUGAAGCCAAUUACGAUACUUUUCCGGUGGUAGCAAAUCCAGAAUAAGCUCGAGUUUCGUUUUGCUGCUCCCUUGAGGACUGCUGGUAUGUUAUCAUGGUUGGCUUCAGGGUUUAAAGUUGCGUGCUUUGAUCGUUUUGGGUCGAUGGCGCCCUAUUCUAGCUCAUCUUAUUUUAAAGUUUCGGGUUUUAUUCUUAUUUUGAUAGUUUUUAGGUCGAGGGUGUUUUGUUCAUUGUUGGUAUUUAACGCCAUAUUAUUUGUUGAGACUUCCCCAUGAGUUCUUUGGCUUCCCAAAUGACAAAAAAUGACGAGGAUACGCUCGACACAAACUGACAAAUCCCAUGAUCCCUCGAUGACCAUUUUGGCUAUUAGAACUCGUUUGAGUUUGACAAAAGAGGAUGAGGAUGAGGAUGAUAGUAGUGCCCCGCCACUUUCCUUUUAGCUUUAUCUGCCAUGUCUUUUUUUGUUUGGAUUCGAAUCUUUUAUCUUUCCUUGUCUCUUGAGCUUGUUGCCAAUACAUGAUCGGGUUAGGGAGAUGAAUGCAAUAAUGGGGUAUUUUAGUAUGUUUAUUUAGAAGGAAUGGCCUUAUUUUGUUCUCCUCAUAGAAAUGGAGCAUCACUGUUGUAUGUCUCUUUGAAUACCUACUAUCAAUGGAACUUGGAUUUAUAGGUCAAUUUCACUUCUUUUCUGUGUUUCAAUCAGUCUCUUGACUAGAUAUGGGGUUAUGUUUAGGUAUGAAGUUCUCAAAACAGCUUGCAAACAGUUUUCUCCUGUCCCAUAUAAUAUGAGAGUAUCAUAUAGUGUGGUAUAGAUUGGUUUAUUUGAAGCACAUGACUGCAUUUCGAUUUUAGUGUUGGAAAUUAAUAGUGUUCUUGAUUUAAGUGAGACCCUCUUUGCUUUUGUUGAUUGGAUUGUCCUGUAUACUGUACAACAUACAAGAAAAGAGGUGAAACGAACUUAUCUUGGUUCAUCCAUAGCAUAAAUUUAAGUAUCUAUUUUUGGGAAUUAUCUUCAGCUCUUCAUUUUUGUAUUCCAGUUGAGUGUUUUGAUAGCCAACUGAUAAAAUUUUCUUAGUUUCUGUGUAUUCCUUCUCAUAAGUAAGCACCGGAACCUAUCGUUUUGUCAAAAGGAAUGGACUGCGAUUUACUAUUAAUGUACGGUCCUUUAACAAAUGUUAUAGCAUCCCUCUACUGCAACAAACAAAACCAACAUUACGUCAUAUGCUCUCAUCCAAUGGUCAUUACAUGCGAUUAGAAAAAGUGACUGUUUACUAGAAUUCUUUCAUGCAUAUGCAUACUUUCACGCCAAAGUCCAGCAUAAUAUGGCGUGUUCUCUUUGAUCUUUAUGUUAAAUGUUCAAAACCAAUUAAACACAGUUGCAUGUCGUAUAUAUCACUAAUCUAGUAGCUAAGUUUCCUUUUAUGUAUCGAAGUAGUGAUUUUUUUUAAUAGCUUUGAACUUUCUAAAUUUUUUUGUUAUAAAAGUAAUUCAUUUUUAUGAACGCGUAUUAAUUCAUAUAUCUUUUCUUUGCAUGCACCCUCCUUGGAGUCCAAAUGGGCUUCUUCUCUCUUUGUAUUUCAUAAAUAGGCCAAUAAGGCCUAUCUUUUCGAGUCAAGCCCGAAUGAAAGCCUAAAGUUAAGCACGUGGCAUAUGGUACGAGAAGUCAAAAGAGGAAUAAUGGAUUAAAAUCUCAUCUUAGAAGCGACUAAGGGAUUAGAAAGUUUCUUUUCUUUUAUUUGUUUAUUUAUUUUGUCAUCUUUUAUUUAUUUGUUUAUUUAUUUAUUCCUUUAUUUCA